CCUACGGGAGGCAGCAGUGAGGAAUAUUGGUCAAUGGACGAGAGUCUGAACCAGCCAAGUAGCGUGAAGGAUGACUGCCCUAUGGGUUGUAAACUUCUUUUAUAUGGGAAUAAAAUGUUCCACGUGUGGGAUUUUGUAUGUACCAUAUGACUAAGGAUCGGCUAACUCCGUGCCAGCAGCCGCGGUAAUACGGAGGGUCCGAGCGUUAUCCGGAUUUAUUGGGUUUAAAGGGAGCGUAGGUGGAUUGUUAAGUCAGUUGUGAAAGUUUGCGGCUCAAACGUAAAAUUGCAGUUGAAACUGGCAGUCUUGAGUACAGUAGAGGUGGGCGGAAUUCGUGGUGUAGCGGUGAAAUGCUUAGAUAUCACGAAGAACUCCGAGUGCGAAGGCAGUUCACUGGACUGCAACUGACACUGAGGCUCGAAAGUGUGGGUAUCAAACAGGAUUAGAUACCCGUGUAGUC
RNAcentral lists this ribosomal RNA (460 nucleotides) under uncultured bacterium. RNAcentral describes it as "partial 16S ribosomal RNA". It matches the Rfam family "Bacterial small subunit ribosomal RNA", at positions 338 to 795 of the family's 1533-position model. The record is from RNAcentral.